GAGGCCCCAAGCGUUACUGUGAAUCACUGGGUUUAAAGGGUGCGUAGGUGGUCCGUUAAGUUCGUUGUGAAAUCCCUGGGCUCAACCCAGGAAAUGCUUCGAAUACUGGCGGACUUGAGGCUAGUAGAGGUCACUGGAACUGACGGUGGAGCGGUGAAAUGCGUAGAUAUCGUCAGGAACGCCGAUGGUGAAGACAGGUGACUGGGCUAGUUCUGACACUGAGGCACGAAAGCGUGGGGAGCGAACGGGAUUAGAUACCCCGGUAGUCCACGCCCUAAACGAUGCAGACUAGACUGCAGCGGGUUACACCCCGUUGCGGUCGGAGCGAAAUUGUUAAGUCUGCCCCUUGGAAAGUACGGUCGCAAGCUUAAAACUUCAAAGAAUUGCCGGGGGCUCGCACAAGCGGUGGAGCAUGUGGCUCAAUUCGAAGCAACGCGAAGAACCUUAUCCCGGAUUUGACAUGGUAGAAGUAAGAAGUGGAAACACUUAUGACCGGUAUCCAAUCCGGAACUAUCACAGGUGCUGCAUGGCUGUCGUCAGCUCGUGCUGUGAAGUGUCGGGUUAAGUCCCAUAACGAGCGAAACCCCUAUCGUUAGUUGCCAUCAGGUCAAGCUGGGCACUCUAACGAGACUGCCGGUGUUAAACCGGAGGAAGGCGGGGAUGACGUCAAGUCCUCAUGGCCUUUAUAUCCAGGGCUGCACACGUGCUACAAUGCCGAUGACAAACCGAUGCAAGACCGUAAGGUGGAGCGAAUCGGAGAAAAAUCG
This 767-nucleotide ribosomal RNA is filed under the name uncultured Planctomycetota bacterium. Its description in RNAcentral is "bacterial SSU rRNA". It matches the Rfam family "Bacterial small subunit ribosomal RNA", at positions 528 to 1285 of the family's 1533-position model. Lineage: Bacteria; Pseudomonadati; Planctomycetota. The record is from RNAcentral.